GCCUUCCUAGCUCAGUUGGUAGAGCGUUAGACUUUUAAUCUAACGGUCAGGGGUUNGGUAGCUGAAUGGUU
Molecule: transfer RNA, 71 nt
Filed under: Strongyloides venezuelensis
Lineage: Eukaryota; Metazoa; Nematoda; Chromadorea; Rhabditida; Strongyloididae
Rfam family: tRNA
About the family: Transfer RNA (tRNA) molecules are approximately 80 nucleotides in length.
Source: Rfam by way of RNAcentral